This 429-nucleotide ribosomal RNA is filed under the name Bacteroidota bacterium. Its description in RNAcentral is "Bacteroidetes bacterium partial 16S ribosomal RNA". It matches the Rfam family "Bacterial small subunit ribosomal RNA", at positions 355 to 776 of the family's 1533-position model. The record is from RNAcentral. Lineage: Bacteria; Pseudomonadati; Bacteroidota.
UAGGGAAUCUUCGGCCAUGGGGGGAACCCUGACCGAGCAACGCCGCGUGAGUGAAGAAGGUUUUCGGAUCGUAAAGCUCUGUUGUUAAGGAAGAACGAGUGUGAGAAUGGAAAGUUCAUACUGUGACGGUACUUAACCAGAAAGGGACGGCUAACUACGUGCCAGCAGCCGCGGUAAUACGUAGGUCCCGAGCGUUGUCCGGAUUUAUUGGGCGUAAAGCGAGCGCAGGCGGUUAGAUAAGUCUGAAGUUAAAGGCAGUGGCUCAACCAUUGUAGGCUUUGGAAACUGUUUAACUUGAGUGCAGAAGGGGAGAGUGGAAUUCCAUGUGUAGCGGUGAAAUGCGUAGAUAUAUGGAGGAACACCGGUGGCGAAAGCGGCUCUCUGGUCUGUAACUGACGCUGAGGCUCGAAAGCGUGGGGAGCGAACAGG